AUUGAACGCUGGCGGCGGGCUUAACACAUGCAAGUCGAGCGGAGAUGAGGUGCUUGCACCUUAUCUUAGCGGCGGACGGGUGAGUAAUGCUUAGGAAUCUGCCUAUUAGUGGGGGACAACAUUCCGAAAGGAAUGCUAAUACCGCAUACGUCCUACGGGAGAAAGCAGGGGAUCUUCGGACCUUGCGCUAAUAGAUGAGCCUAAGUCGGAUUAGCUAGUCGGUGGGGUAAAGGCCUACCAAGGCGACGAUCUGCAGCGGGGCUGAGAGGAUGAGCCGCCAGACUGGGGCUGAGACACGGCCCAGACUCCUCCGGGGGGCAGCAGUGGGGAAUAUUGGACAAUGGGGGAAACCCUGAUCCAGCCAUGCCGCGUGUGUGAAGAAGGCCUUAUGGUUGUAAAGCACUUUAAGCGAGGAGGAGGCUACUGAGACUAAUACUCUUGGAUAGUGGACGUUACUCGCAGAAUAAGCACCGGCUAACUCUGUGCCAGCCGCCCCGUAA
RNAcentral lists this ribosomal RNA (500 nucleotides) under uncultured bacterium. Its description in RNAcentral is "partial 16S ribosomal RNA". It matches the Rfam family "Bacterial small subunit ribosomal RNA", at positions 30 to 523 of the family's 1533-position model. The record is from RNAcentral.